CUAUANUGCAGUCGANGAGUUCUGAUUAUUGAAAGGUGCUUGCAUCUUGAUUUAAUUUUGAACGAGUGGCGGACGGGUGAGUAACACGUGGGUAACCUGCCCUUAAGUGGGGGAUAACAUUUGGAAACAGAUGCUAAUACCGCAUAAAUCCAAGAACCGCAUGGUUCUUGGCUGAAAGAUGGCGUAAGCUAUCGCUUUUGGAUGGACCCGCGGCGUAUUAGCUAGUUGGUGAGGUAACGGCUCACCAAGGCAAUGAUACGUAGCCGAACUGAGAGGUUGAUCGGCCACAUUGGGACUGAGACACGGCCCAAACUCCUACGGGAGGCAGCAGUAGGGAAUCUUCCACAAUGGACGCAAGUCUGAUGGAGCAACGCCGCGUGAGUGAAGAAGGCUUUCGGGUCGUAAAACUCUGUUGUUGGAGAAGAAUGGUCGGCAGAGUAACUGUUGUCGGCGUGACGGUAUCCAACCAGAAAGCCACGGCUAACUACGUGCCAGCCGNCGCGGUAAA
Molecule: ribosomal RNA, 508 nt
Filed under: Lacticaseibacillus rhamnosus
Lineage: Bacteria; Bacillati; Bacillota; Bacilli; Lactobacillales; Lactobacillaceae
Description: bacterial SSU rRNA
Rfam family: Bacterial small subunit ribosomal RNA
Source: RNAcentral